Molecule: ribosomal RNA, 810 nt
Filed under: uncultured Clostridia bacterium
Lineage: Bacteria; Bacillati; Bacillota; Clostridia
Description: bacterial SSU rRNA
Rfam family: Bacterial small subunit ribosomal RNA
Source: RNAcentral
GAACGGGAUUUAGUAGACAGAAGCUUCGGUGGAAGAUUACUAAUGAGAGUGGCGAACGGGUGAGUAACGCGUGAGCAACCUGCCUAUGACAGUGGGAUAGCCUCGGGAAACCGGGAUUAAUACCGCAUAAAAUCGUAGAAACACAUGUUUUAACGGUCAAAGAUUUAUCGGUCAUAGAUGGGCUCGCGUCUGAUUAGCUAGUUGGUGAGAUAACAGCCCACCAAGGCGACGAUCAGUAGCCGGUCUGAGAGGAUGAACGGCCACAUUGGAACUGAGACACGGUCCAAACUCCUACGGGAGGCAGCAGUGGGGAAUAUUGCACAAUGGGGGAAACCCUGAUGCAGCGACGCCGCGUGAACGAAGAAGGUAUUCGUAUCGUAAAGUUCUGUCCUAUGGGAAGAUAAUGACAGUACCAUAGAAGAAAGCUCCGGCUAAAUACGUGCCAGCAGCCGCGGUAAUACGUAUGGAGCGAGCGUUGUCCGGAAUUAUUGGGCGUACAGGGUACGCAGGCGGUUUAAUAAGUCGAAUGUUAAAGAUCGGGGCUCAACCCCGUAAAGCAUUGGAAACUGAUAAACUUGAGUAGUGGAGAGGAAAGUGGAAUUCCUAGUGUAGUGGUGAACUACGUAGAUUUAGGAGGAAUACCAGUAGCGAAGGCGACUUUCUGGACACAAACUGACGCUGAGGUACGAAAGCGUGGGGAGCAAACAGGAUUAGAUACCCUGGUAGUCCACGCCGUCCCCGAUGAAUGCUAGGUGUUGGGGGUCAAACCUCGGUGCCGAAGUUAACACAUUAAGCAUUCCGCCUGGGGAG